Molecule: long non-coding RNA, 2224 nt
Filed under: Nicotiana benthamiana
Lineage: Eukaryota; Viridiplantae; Streptophyta; Magnoliopsida; Solanales; Solanaceae
Description: long non-coding RNA (NBEN_LNC039007)
Source: RNAcentral
GGAUAAUAUAUUUUUUCUAAUGAUUAGAUGGUAUUUACAAAUGAUUGGGGUCCCCUUAUAUAAUGGGAAACGCUAAAUAAGUUACAUUUCUAUUUACAGUAAGGAAUCAUAUUGGUACAAUUGUCUAACCGUUUAAUACGGAUUCGUACUAGGUCAUACGAAUAAAUUUUGAAAUUUACGGCACGAUCUUGGGGCCGUGGCGGGAAUCUUAUCCUUUUGUAAUAAACUUAUAACGGUAUUAUCUUGAGAUCGGUCAUGUUCGACCUCGAUGUUCACCAGACACUUUGAUCUUUGAAGCCUCCCAUCGUGCUUGCUCCUGGUCUUUAUCGAUCUUGCUUCUACAGUGACCUUCGAGCCCACAAAAUCGAAUAGACACGAUUUCUGCCAUAUACCAUAGUAAUGUAUGAAGCUAUUCUCCGUCAUACUAACCGCAAUUCUUAACGUCAUAUCAUUACUUCAAUUAAAAUUUAUUAUCAAUUUUUUCUACCUCUUGGCAAUGCUUGUUUGCUGCUAGGUCCGAAAUGGCGCCACGAGAGGGCAUCGUUAUGCCUUUAAUGAAUCGAUGCAUAUCUUACACUUUAAAAGUAAAUUUUAUUUCUUCUUUAUUUUUUUAUUCUAUAAUUUCUUUUUAUUUAUAGGUUGGUUUCGUGUAUAUAGAUUUUACUGGAAGAGAUUAGUAUCCUCAAGCUAAGUCCCUUGAAACUUGAAGUAUAUAUGCCCAUAAGAUGGGCGGUGGCGAAUCCAAAAUUUUAGGUUUAUAGGUACUAACUUUUUAAUAUAAAGUUAUUAUCAAUUCCAUCAUAUAAGUAUGCAACUAUUUAAAUGCAAAAAUAAAUAAUUAAAAAAUUAUGAUAUUAAUAUUAUACUAGUACAGUACUCGCGCGAUGCGCGAAAAAUUCCAGAAAAAAAGUAUAAAAUGUUAUUGUAUUUCUUUAAUAGCUAAAUAUAAAUAUUACGGAUAAUAGAGGCCAUUGGCACAAUGACAAAUCUAAAGUUAUUUCUUUUCUAUAUAGAGAACUAACAAAAAGAGUCGCUCAGCUAAUCUCUUAAACUAAAAAUAGUCAGCUAAUAUUAAUAUAUAUAUAUAUAUAUAUAUAUAUAUAUAUAUAUAUAUAUAUGUGUGUGUGUGUGUGUGUGUGUGUGUGUGUGUAUGUGUGAGAGAGAGUGUGUGUGUGUAAUUAACGUAUAAAUUAUGCAUUUUAGUGAAAAAAAAAGUAAACAAUAAAUACUGGCAGCUAUUUGUUUAAAAAUCCCUUUAUAUAUAUUAUAUAAGUACCAUAAUUCGCGGAUAUUGUAAAGUAAGGAAAACAAGAAUUAAAAGUUAAAUAUUUUUCAUAGUAUAAUUUAUGCGUUCAUUCCAAUAAAGCAUAAUUAGCUUAAAAAAAUCGUGACUGAACAACUUUAUUUAAAUACACAAUGGUUCUAAUAUGGAUGCAUUAGUUUAUAUAUCGUAACAAAGUUUGAUAAUUUCUCAUUUUUUACUUAUAAGAUUUCUUCAUGAUCCUUUAUUCUGCUCGUUAAUAAUGUUAGAAGAAAGAAAACAUUGAAAACAUUUAAUGAUUUUCUGUGGAUCAAUAAUCUAAAAAGCAUUAUAAUUUUUGUCAUGCUUGAAAAAAUAUGCCGGAUAGCAAAUGCACUCAAAUAGGAAUAAGUUAGUGUUAUUCCAUUAUGUUAACUAUUUAAUGUAAUACUAUUAUGAAAAAAUUAUAGUAAAAUGAAAGUUACUCAUGUAAAGAAAUAACAAAAUUUGCUUAAUUACAAAAACUAUAAAUAGUUAUACAGACCGGUCUUCCACUUAGCUUCAAAUAUAAGAACAUAAACGCAAAAAGGUUCACUUGGUCAAAUCUCUUGAUAAAUUUCAAUUAAAGUACUAUCUAAAGGUUGUCCAACUGAAUUUAUUAAAAUUGCUAAAGCAUGCCAAUCUGAUAGUUUCAUUUGAUCAAUAGCAUCAAUUAGCGCAUCUCUAGUAUACUAAUAAUUUGCAAUGUGUUAAUUUAGUAAAGCCCUAAGCUCUCUGAAUUUCUUUUCUCUUUCCCUUUGUUCAGCUCUUCGAUCCCUUACCUUAUUUUGUAUCGCCAUUGGAACUUUCCUGAUGACUUGAGUCUUUGAGUCAUAAUGAUUAAAGGAAUAAUGGUUGUGCCGUCUCCCUUAUACGUUGUCCUCUUCCUUGAGUUGGAAAACUCGCAUUUGAAGUAAUUCGAACGUGUCAUUUUUUAGCCAUAUC